CUUUGCUACCGCCAGGCUCCUGACCCCAGCUUGGACAGCAGGCCGCCGAGCGCCCCUGACGCCCGUUACCGAGAUGGCUGCGCAGAAGGGUAACCCAGAAUGACAUCUAUGCCUUUCAUCUGUAAAAUAACAACAACAGUGGGCUCUGGGAACACAGACUAAGACUCCUUAACCACAGCCAUAGGAGUGGCUGUGGGGCUGUGAUCUCUCCUAGAACCUCAGAGGCAUGAAGCUAGAAUAUCUUCCCCUUCAAGGAGAAUAAGCCAAGAACACAAGAAGAUCAGAGGCUGUAAGGAGCUGCUAUAAGGCCUUCUCCCAGUCACUUCCCUCUCUCUCCUGAGAGGCUGUCUUGAAUGAAUUUCUCAUCACUUACCAGAUUCUGAUGAGGGUAUAUGAGACAAGGACCUGGGGAGUUGGCCUCUUUGGUUCAUUCUUUGUACUGUUUAUCUAUGGUUGUUGCGGCCUUUGUUGAUGACAUUCAGCAUUGACUUCUUGGGUAAGGUAUUCAGUAGUUAAGAUUCAAUGACUCCAGUGAAAGGUAUGUUUCCAUCGUGAUGUUCUUCUUCUGGACAAUAAGUGAAAAGAGCAUGUGAGUACCUCUCUCACUCCCAGCAAAUAAUUGUUGUGUCACCUCCACAUGUUUCUUCACGAUUCGAGGCUUUGAUUUCCCCUGCAAGACAAAAUGCAAUGAAGUGAUACAGAAAAAAAGAAAUUCUAUGCUGUCAUCACACUAGACCAUGAUGUUGAUUUAUGGAUGGUCUGCUUUCUUAUAUGCACUUAAUAUUUUUGUACAAGCAAACCUGAAAAGUGUCAAAAUCCCCUUUAACAGAUUAACAGGCUGAGAUGGGUUAAAGUGAGCAAGCCGGGAAGUGGUGGAGCUGGGAUCCACACCCUGGUCUGUCUGAGUCCAGAUGUAAUCAUCUUGCAUUCACUAUGGCAUGUUUCCCUUAUGUUAAGGGUUGCUGACAUAGACAGUGCAUGUCAUUCCUUUUGGUAUGGUCUUCCUCCUUUCUAGCUUUUUUCUGCCUGGAAGAUCCAGGCACCCAAGAGAAUGGAGCUUCCAUGUAAAUUUGCAGAAUCCCUAGGAUGAAAGCGGAGAGGAUCUACCCUGAAACCAACAAGUCUAGGAUGCACAUCUCUGCCUUUUUUUCAGAAUUAGGAAGGGGCAGGCAGAUGGGCAAUUGACAGGAAUAGUAGAAGCAUCCUCGGGGAAGUUGGCUACUUUACUUAGUGAGAAAGCAAUGGAAAGUGACAUUUGUAACUGAGUUUUAAGUGAAGUACAGUCCUAAGAGAGGAGCUCUGAAAAACAGCUGUUACCUGAGAUUGGGAAUGUUAAAGACCUUCUCAGAGCCUGACUGUACUCACAGCUGGACCUAGCUAUCAGAAGAGGGACUGCAACAUACCUGAGAAACUUUCAGAAUACUUAACGGAAGCAGAGUCAGGGGAAGUGAUUUUGAUAGUAGUCCAUGAGAAAAAAAUACGGUGUUUUAAAAUGCAAAUGAACUAAAAUUUAAAUCCUGCUCUCUCAGUAGCUAUGCAGCCUUAGGCGAGUUAAUAUCUUUGACCUUAGUAUUUCUCAGGUGUAAAGAGGGAUAAUUACCUACUCAGAACUUCACCUCUCCCAAGAAAGCUUUCCUGACCAUGUGCUGGCCCUUCCUUUACAUUGGGAUUAAAGUACCCCCCCCCGUUUUUCCAGGCUUUCUUGACUUUAAUUCUGUCAUAGCUCUAAUUAAGAACCUCUGUAAUGAUCUGUCUGCAAGCUUGUGAGAAAUUUGAGGACUGGGAACCAGCCUGAAACAUGUCUGUUCCCCUCUGAGUCAACACAGUGCCUGGGAUCUGGUGUCCAGUAGGGAUUUAAAGCAUAUUGAUUGAAUGAGAAAUGAUGACAGGAUCUACAUGGAUCACAAAGGAUAGUUGUUAUUUUACCUGUUAACUAUUUAAUAGCGAAAUUAAAUGAAAUAUGAAUUAACCUAGGACCAGGGAAGGUGGGGUAAGUUGUGUCUUUCACAUCAACCUUCAUAUGUUCCCCAAUUUUUUCUUCCUUCAUGUACCUAGGACACUCUUGUUCAAACACAAAGGUGGUUUUAUUUUGGGUCUAUACUAGCUAGUUCCCUAGAAAGGUCUUAAAUACAAAAUGAAUGGAAUACAAAAUAACCUCCCUCAUUGUUUUUUUUCCCGGACAAAUGACAGGAUGCAUACAGAACUGCUACUUUUGUGAUGUUGCAAGUAAUGGUAUAGAUGUGCACAAAUCAUGGAUGUGGUCCCAGUGAUCCAUGGAAAUGUGAAGUCCAGAAGCUCCUCGUCUUAGAGGUUGUUCUCCUGCUCCUUUGGUCAAGUGCUGGAAAAUUCAACACUAAUUUCUGCAGAGGUAGAGGAAUGGAGUUUGUUUCAAGUCCUUGUGAAGGGAUAGAAUGAUUGGUACUUACAGCUG
This 2431-nucleotide long non-coding RNA is filed under the name Homo sapiens (human). RNAcentral's name for it is "HSALNT0407571". Lineage: Eukaryota; Metazoa; Chordata; Mammalia; Primates; Hominidae. The record is from RNAcentral.